Molecule: ribosomal RNA, 253 nt
Filed under: uncultured bacterium
Lineage: Bacteria
Description: partial 16S ribosomal RNA
Rfam family: Bacterial small subunit ribosomal RNA
Source: RNAcentral
AACGUAGGUGGCGAGCGUUAUCCGGAAUUACUGGGCGUAAAGCGUGUGCAGGCGGGCAACCAAGUGGGGUAUGAAAUCUCCCGGCUCAACCGGGAAGGGUUAUGCCAGACUGGUUGUCUUGAGUGCGAGAGAGGAAUGUGGAAUUCCGGGUGUAGUGGUGAAAUGCGUAGAUAUCCGGAGGAACACCAGUGGCGAAAGCGGCCACCUGGACUGCACCUGACGCUGACACGCGAAAGCUAGGGGAGCGAACGGG